Molecule: ribosomal RNA, 253 nt
Filed under: uncultured bacterium
Lineage: Bacteria
Description: partial 16S ribosomal RNA
Rfam family: Bacterial small subunit ribosomal RNA
Source: RNAcentral
UACGGAGGGGGCUAGCGUUGUUCGGAAUUACUGGGCGUAAAGCGCACGUAGGCGGCUUUGUAAGUUAGAGGUGAAAGCCUGGAGCUCAACUCCAGAAUUGCCUUUAAGACUGCAUCGCUUGAAUCCAGGAGAGGUAAGUGGAAUUCCGGGUGUAGAGGUGAAAUUCGUAGAUAUUCGGAAGAACACCAGCGGCGAAGGCGGCUUACUGGACUGGUAUUGACGCUGAGGUGCGAAAGCUUGGGGAGCAAACAGG